RNAcentral lists this long non-coding RNA (518 nucleotides) under Equus caballus (horse). RNAcentral's name for it is "lncRNA (ENSECAG00000058995.1)". Lineage: Eukaryota; Metazoa; Chordata; Mammalia; Perissodactyla; Equidae. The record is from RNAcentral.
GGGUUCCCCACGCCCAGCAUGCUUUAGACAUUAUCCACAGACUUCCCACUACGGAAGAUGAGAAUGUAGCUGUCUCACGUAUUCUCACCUCCUGUCUCCUGAUGCCCCCAGCUACUUCCCUCCUCUCAUGCAUCCAGCACAGAUGUGUAAUAAUUGGAGGGUCCCUUGGGAAGCCCCUGUCCUUCUGCUCUGAUGUUUUUUGGUUGCUCUCUAAGCCUGCAGCCUUGCCAUCCUCCUGAGAUGUCUCAGCACCAGCCUGCAGGUUCCCUUCAUCUGUCUCCUGUAUCAGAUUCCAAGCUGCCUGGAUUCCACAACCUCUCUCUUUGUUUCCCUUCAUCAUUUUGAUGAGUACAUCCUCUGCUUGCUUUUGAAGAAAGGUUGCAGAGGAGGUGAAUUUUUGAGAACUUGCUUUUUUCUGUUUUCCCUAUUUGCCCAUUUAAUUGAUGGCUUGUGUGGGUACCGACUUCCAGGGUGCUGCAUUAGUCAGAACAGGCGAACUAUUGUACCAAAGAACCCUU